UUACCCCGCAAGGGGUAACUGAGUGGCAAACGGGUGAGUAACGCGUGGGUGACCUGCCUUCGAGUGGGGGAUAACGUUUCGAAAGGAACGCUAAUACCGCAUGACAUCCUGCCUUUGGACAGGCGGAGAUCAAAGCCGGGGAUCGUAAGACCUGGCGCUUGGAGAGGGGCCCGCGUCCGAUUAGCUAGUUGGUGGGGUAACGGCUCACCAAGGCGACGAUCGGUAGCCGGCCUGAGAGGGCGGACGGCCACACUGGGACUGAGACACGGCCCAGGCUCCUACGGGAGGCAGCAGUGGGGAAUUGUUCGCAAUGGGCGCAAGCCUGACGACGCAACGCCGCGUGGAGGAUGAAGGUCUUCGGA
RNAcentral lists this ribosomal RNA (362 nucleotides) under uncultured bacterium. RNAcentral describes it as "bacterial SSU rRNA". It matches the Rfam family "Bacterial small subunit ribosomal RNA", at positions 72 to 422 of the family's 1533-position model. The record is from RNAcentral.